GUUGUAGUUCAGUGAUAGGGCACUCGCCUAGCGUGUGCGAGGCCCUGGGUUCAAUCCUCAGCACGAUA
Molecule: transfer RNA, 68 nt
Filed under: Marmota monax (woodchuck)
Lineage: Eukaryota; Metazoa; Chordata; Mammalia; Rodentia; Sciuridae
Description: tRNA.Ala
Source: RNAcentral